GACGAACGCUGGCGGCGUGCUUAACACAUGCAAGUCGAACGAAGAGCGAUGGAAGCUUGCUUCUAUCAAUCUUAGUGGCGAACGGGUGAGUAACGCGUAAUCAACCUGCCCUUCAGAGGGGGACAACAGUUGGAAACGACUGCUAAUACCGCAUACGAUCUAACCUCGGCAUCGAGGAUGGAUGAAAGGUGGCCUCUAUUUAUAAGCUAUCACUGAAGGAGGGGAUUGCGUCUGAUUAGCUAGUUGGAGGGGUAACGGCCCACCAAGGCGUUGAUCAGUAGCCGGUCUGAGAGGAUGAACGGCCACAUUGGGACUGAGACACGGCCCAGACUCCUACGGGAGGCAGCAGUGGGGAAUCUUCCGCAAUGGACGAAAGUCUGACGGAGCAACGCCGCGUGAGUGAUGACGGCCUUCGGGUUGUAAAGCUCUGUUAAUCGGGACGAAAGGCCUUCUUGCGAAUAGUUAGAAGGAUUGACGGUACCGGAAUAGAAAGCCACGGCUAACUACGUG
RNAcentral lists this ribosomal RNA (510 nucleotides) under uncultured bacterium. RNAcentral describes it as "partial 16S ribosomal RNA". It matches the Rfam family "Bacterial small subunit ribosomal RNA", at positions 28 to 507 of the family's 1533-position model. The record is from RNAcentral.